Long non-coding RNA from Oncorhynchus kisutch (coho salmon), 926 nucleotides. RefSeq lists it as uncharacterized. The transcript is spliced from 3 exons. NCBI's taxonomy places the organism in Eukaryota, Metazoa, Chordata, Actinopteri, Salmoniformes, Salmonidae. The record is from RefSeq and is a predicted model, not a curated record.
GGUUCAUGGCUUGCCUAUUGUUUUAUCCCAGUACAAGAGGGGCAACUGGAUUCAGGAUUAAACACAAGCAGUCUUUAAGGUAUAUCUUAUUACAGUUUAGGCCUACCUUAUUAUUUUCUUCCAUCUGGCAAUAUCAUUUUAAGGAAUGAAAUCUGUUUUGUUGCUAGUAUUAUUAUUAACUGUAGGAAAAUACAGCUGUAGAGUACAAGAAUCAGCUACUUUCUGAAGGGCAGCCAAGCUCAUAAGCAAUUUAGAACCUACAGACAAUUAUGACAAAAUUGGAACGCAUGAAUGUGUCACAAACGCCUUGUGGUCACAUGAUAUUUUAGGGCGUGGCUCCGCAUUCGUGACCGGUUCUCUUAUUUCUAUUUCCCGGUAUCCGUUAGUGCUGGAAUUUGCGAUUAAUACUUUUCUCAUGCCGAAACCGGAUUAGAUACAUACCGAUAGUUAAAUGUCAAAAAUUAUUAUAUUUGCAAUGUCAUUAAACAACAACAACAUAAAUAGCUACUACAUUUUCGAAAUAUGAUUUUGUCAUCAGAGAGAGGGAGAGAUAGGCUUUUGACACGAGCGCAUCGACAAUCUCCAGCGAGUGAGCUGCGUAUCAUUGGGAUUACUUCCACGUGCAACUGUCAGACGACAAGUAGGUGAGGCACUUCCGGGAGCUGAGCUAUGCUGGUGCCAUCCUUCGGGACAGCUGGGUCCUGACAGACGUUGGCAUAACCCCUAGCAGUGCCAUCUGCUGCCUGCUGAAGGUACCAGCCGAACACCUAGCUGUUUCUACCCGUGCUUGAAAAUGCAUAUCAAAGUGAGCUGGCUAUUGCUUGAAACAGCUUCAUACUAUCAUUAACAUAAAGUGUUUCAGAUAUAGUGUGGUGAUAUAUAGUAUGGUGAUAUAUAUAGCAUGGUGAUAUAUAGUGUGGUGAUAU